RNAcentral lists this long non-coding RNA (292 nucleotides) under Bos taurus (domestic cattle). RNAcentral describes it as "long non-coding RNA NONBTAT022015". The record is from RNAcentral. Lineage: Eukaryota; Metazoa; Chordata; Mammalia; Artiodactyla; Bovidae.
CCACAAGUACAUGGUACUUUACAGAGAAUACACUUCUUUGUAUCAUCUCAGUUUUAGAGAAAAAACUUGCAGAGUCAGGUAAGUAUCCAGUGCAAGAUUUUCAAUAAUGUUGGAGCAUUAUAAAUCUGCUCUGCUAACAGGAUAAUUUUUGCAAUUUAAAUUUUGCACAAAUUUUUAUUUCAAAGAAUAUGAAAUCCAUCUAUAAUGUAAAAACCUCACUGUAACAAAGGCAUUCAUAUUUAUUUUCACAUACUCACAAAAAGUUGCAUUAUUAAAUCAUUUAUUUUUCCCC